ACGCCCGACACCUACGGGAGGUAGCAGUGGGGAAUAUUGCACAAUGGGGGAAACCCGUGAUGCAGCGACGCCGCGUGAGCGAAGAAGUAUUUCGGUAUGUAAAGCUCUAUCAGCAGGGAAGAAACUGACGGUACCUGGCUAAGAAGCACCGGCUAAAUACGUGCCAGCAGCCGCGGUAAUCUGAGCGGGCUGGCAAGGC
RNAcentral lists this ribosomal RNA (199 nucleotides) under uncultured bacterium. RNAcentral describes it as "partial 16S ribosomal RNA". It matches the Rfam family "Bacterial small subunit ribosomal RNA", at positions 328 to 539 of the family's 1533-position model. The record is from RNAcentral.